GGCUCCGUAGCUCAGGUGGAUAGAGCGUCGGUUUCCUAAACCGCAGGUCGCAGGUUCGAGUCCUGCCGGGGCCACCA
RNAcentral lists this transfer RNA (77 nucleotides) under Sphingomicrobium clamense. Its description in RNAcentral is "tRNA-Arg". It matches the Rfam family "tRNA". Rfam says of the family: Transfer RNA (tRNA) molecules are approximately 80 nucleotides in length. Their secondary structure includes four short double-helical elements and three loops (D, anti-codon, and T loops). Lineage: Bacteria; Pseudomonadati; Pseudomonadota; Alphaproteobacteria; Sphingomonadales; Sphingomicrobiaceae. The record is from RNAcentral.